RNAcentral lists this long non-coding RNA (5944 nucleotides) under Salmo salar (Atlantic salmon). Its description in RNAcentral is "lncRNA (ENSSSAG00000089788.1)". The record is from RNAcentral. Lineage: Eukaryota; Metazoa; Chordata; Actinopteri; Salmoniformes; Salmonidae.
GCUGUACAACGUGACCGGUCGGGAGUGACAUACAGUACUUCAGUAAGAGCAAAAAAUCAAAAAAAGUGUAAUAACAGUUUUAAGAAGUAAUACUGAAGUCGGGCACAGUUAUCAGUUUAUAUUUAGGUUUAUGUUGCCCAUUCAUUGUCAGUUAGAGACACAGUAGGACCCAAAAGCAUAAUCAGUGCUCUAACUCCCCCUUGCACUGGUCUGGAGCAAUGAAGUGGUGACGCUGGGUACCGUACUAAACUACACAUGACCUCUAAGUACUGCAGCAUAAUUGGAAAACUGUCAGUGGAGCAACCACUGUAAGCCAAACGACACUGAGGCAUUCCUAGCAGACAGAGGACGCCUUGGAUGGCUACCUGAACACUACAGGUUCUGACAGGCUUUACCUGUUGAGGUCGAACGUCGACUAGACACGUGACAAGGUUCAUUCGUCUACAACAACAACACAUGCAAAACUACUACGCUAAACUUGCCACGGCUUUGAAAAUAUAAUUCAGUGGUUCUGCGACUCGAAAACACGACAGCUCACUGGCUAACACUGUCAAACAAGCUCGGCAUGAACACUCACAAGCUUACUAUGAUAGGCUUCGUUUAGCUUACUUUGGCUUACUCACUGAAACAGGAAUGGAAGAGCUGUUACCAUUCAAACAAAUGUUUCGUCGAACAUGUAUCCCAACUUCAUUACCUACUUGGGCCCUACGGCCCACUUUGGUUUGCCAAUCUUAGAACUCAGAGAGUUUGCGAGCAUGGCUUAAGACGCAUCAAAAGUGCGCAGCACUGCGAACCCUGACAUCUCAGGUUUGAAGUUUGGACAGGAGCACUCACUCCAAUUAGAGGGUGCAUUAUCAGGUAUUGGAGCGUUGAGAGAUGACACCCAACAACUGUUUCUACCACGAAACCGCGAUACCAAUACCCACCGUGGUCGAAAUUACUAUAAAGUACGUCGCCAGCUACCGCUACCGCUACAAUCAACCUGAUCGCUACGUUCAUACACCCAACCCACACAGUGUCAGAGCACAAGGGUAACAAAGGGUUCAUUGACAAUCAAAACAUAGAUUGAUGUGCUCUAGACGUUCUAAUACGUAAUAAGUACUAAAGUGAGAAAUCUGAGAAAAGGGAAAAAGUUAAAUCACUAUGACUAGGUGUGGAAUUGCCAGACAAUAGGUCCUCCAGAAUUAACACCCUUAGCAAGGUUGUAAACAUUCAAAUUAUCCCCGCUCUCACUCGAGACCCUAUCCAGGGUAUCACUUAGAUUGCAACACGUGGAAGGGAAUCUCCAAAACAUUCUCCUGAUGGUUAACACACAUGCCACUAAUAAAUGGACCCCUCCAUUCAGGAGGAACAUUAUUAGAAGUCAUGAACCAUGAUCACACCGCGUACGACUGGUUCAGUGCUUCUAGAGUACUUCCGUCGUGAUGUUAGCUCCUCUGUGGAUAACAUAGCUAUGAAAUAGACUCCUUCAUACCUACCGCCACUACAAUGGUGUAAGACACAGUGACUUGUAGUAAAAUUACUACAGGUCCCCUUAACAUAUGUCUUGAGGUCGGCAUCAAUUGUUACUGACCUCCAGGCAUUGACAUGGAAAUUAUCUGAUGACGUCAGACUCAUUCUGAACAGGUUGCAGCUACCAAGAUACUUGGUUUUCUUUCCCUUGGCAUGUGCGCUUGUGUAAGCAUAAACACACACGUACAACAGAACAUUUAAUGAGCAAAAUACCAGCCUUAGGGUACAUUUUCAACUUUACUGAGGCCUUUGACUCUACAGCUACAGUACUCACCAGUUUCUCCCCAGAGGUCCAUAGGUCAUCCCUUUAGACUGUCCGAAGCUAGUGCCAUACAGCUGUAGACUUAUCAUGUAGUUAUCAACUUAGGAUAGUGUCCUAGAACAACACACCGCUAAGUAGGAACGCCCUAGAUAUGACAUUAGACACAAUGCCAUUAUAGUCAUUUGCCAAGACCUUGGACAUAUAUAGAAUACAGUCCAAUUAGAUGAUUAAGUUGUGGUAACUAUAUCUUUUUUAAUGCUUUUAUUAAUUUUUGUUUCAUUUUCUUUGACACUUAGGAAGUGAUAGAGCCAUUAACAAGUUUCCCAUAUGACCAUCAGUUAGUGCCACAACACUGCUCAUUUGGGAAAGAAAUUGAAUUAUGUAUUUUAUGAGUGUGUGUACCUCUCUCUGGGGUAGGGGGCAGUAUUUUGACAUCUGGAUGAAAAGCGUGCCCAAAGUAAACUGCCUGUUACUCAGGCCCAGAAGCUAGGCUAUGCAUAUAAUUGGUAGAUUUAUAUAGAAAACACUCAAGUUUCUAAAACGGUUAAAAUUAUGUCUGUGAGUAUAACAGAACUGAUAUGGCAGGUGAAACCCUGAGGACAAACCAUCCCAAAAACAAAACAUUCAGCUUACCACUAUUUUCAAUGGCUAGUUCUAUAAUUAUAUGCCCAAGUCCUCCCAAAUUGCAGUUCCUAGGGCUUCCACUAGAUGUCAGUCUUUAGAAAGCGUUUCAGGCUGGUUUUUGGAGAAAUAGCUCAAAUUGUAGUUUUUCUAGGUGGCUCCCAUUUUGGCUGUAGUGUUUCCAAGUGCAUGGAGGAAAGCACAUUCUUUCUUAUUUAUCUCCGGUAAUGAACAUACUAUUCUCCGUCUUAAAUGUUAUCGUUUAUUUGCGUAGUAGGAUACCUAAGGUUUGAUUAUAAACGUUGUUUGACUUGUUUGGAAAAGUUUAUUAGUAACGUUUGGGAUUCAUUUGUAUGCAUUUUGAUGGAGGGAAACUGAGUGGAUUAUUGACUGAAGCGCGCCAGCUAAACUGAGUUUUUAUGGAUAUAAAGAAGGACAUUAUCGAACAAAGGACCAUCUGUGAUGUAACUGGGACCUUUUGGAGUGCCAACAGAAGAAGAUCAAAGGACCAGUACAAUUUCUGAACAUGGAGGCACCUGGCCAAGUAAAUGAACAAGGGCAACUGCCUGCUCGAGGAAGAGGAAGAGGAAGAAGAAGAAGAGGAGGAGGAGGAGGAGUAGUAAGGGUGCGUGGUGGUGGAAUAGGGGAAGAGGCCGAGGAGCACGAAGACACCAUGCUGUCCCGGAUGAAAUUCGGGCCACAAUUAUAGACCAUGUCAUCAACCAUGGCCUCACAAUGGCGGAGGCAGGUCGCCGAGUGCAGCCUAAUGUGCCUCGCUCAACAGUCUCCUCCAUCAUCCAAACCUUUCGCAGGGAAAACAGGAUUGGAUGACAACCUUGCACGGGUGGCAGAGGAAAACUUCUCAAUGAACAACAAGAACAAGAGAUCUGUAACAUGGUGAUGGCAAAUAAUGCCAUCACAUUGAGACAGAUCCGCGCUGCAAUCCUACAAGACAAUGCCAUAUUCCAAAAUGUCAACUCUAUAAGCAACUCCACAAUAGACCGGAUAUUGAAGAAGCAUCAGAUGACAAUGAAGCAAAUUUACAGGGUACCAUUUGAGAGGAACUCUGAUAGAGUGAAAGAGCUGCGGUACCAGUAUGUACAUAGAAUAAUGGCAUUGGAAGGAAACGAGACCCAUCACAUCCUCGUGUUUGUGGAUGAAGCUGGCUUCAACCUGGCCAAGGGCCGAAGACGUGGCCGUAAUAUUGUUGGCCACCGGGCCACGGCGGAUGUCCCAGGCCAGCGAGGGGGCAAUAUAACUAUGUGUGCUGCCAUAUCUGAGAAUGGUGUGGCCACUCACAUCCCCAGUCUUGGCCCAUACAAUACACAGAAGCUCCUCAUCUUCUUGGACCGCCUUCAUUUUGAUUUGAUCCCUGAAAAUGAGAGAGGUCUCGUAGGACCUCACCUACCACAAUAUGUCAUUGUAUGGGACAAUGUGAAUUUCCACCGUGGCCCGCUCAUCAGGGCCUGGUUCACUACUCAUCCAAGGAUGGUCAUGGUGUUCCUUACUCUCCUUUCCUCAAUCCUAUUGAGGAGUAUUUCUCCGCUUGGAGGUGGAGAGUGUAUGAGCAUCGGGCUCAAGAUCAGAGGUCCCUGCUCCAUGCAUUGGACGCUGCAUGUGAGGAUAUUACAGGAGAUCAGUGUAGGGGAUGGUUGCGACAUGCACGCCGUUUCUUCCCUCGUUGCAUCGCAAGGGAGAAUAUACGCUGUGAUGUGGACGAGAAUCUGUGGCCAGACAGACAGCAGCGUGUGGAUGGCCAGGAGGGUGAGGAUGGUGGUCAGGAGAGGGAGGGUGGGGACAGCGACCAGUGAAGAACUGUUAGUUGUGAAACUCCAGCUUUAUUUACAGCACUAUAGGCUGCAUAUAAUUUUCAUUGUUUUUUGUUUGUGUGUUUAUAUUACAGUAUAUUAUGCUGUAUACAUUUUCUUUUUACUCUGAUGUAUGGAAGUUACUUUGUGUGUGAAUGAUAAUGGUUACAAUUUCCUUGGCAGUAUGAGUGCAAUGUGUGAUGUCAAACCUUGGAGGCUACUCUUACCCUAAAAUCCUAUUUCUUUUUUUCAGUUUUAUACACAAUUGUAUUCUGUUAGCUGGACAAAAAACAGUACAGUAACCAUUGUCAAUGAAUGACUGGGCUAAGAUUGAAAGGUGGACAUGAGGGAUAUUUCAAUGGUCCUCUGCCAUAGUGACAAAACAUCUAAACAUUUUGACUUGCAGUGCUUACACAAUGCCAAAGGGACUAAGCAUUUUGGGGGCACUGACUGUUUAAAUGAGAAGGAAAUUUAGUUUUGGUUAAAGCACCAAGAGUGUUGAGAACGUCCGGUCUGUUUCAAGAAAUGAGCCAAAGCAAUUGAGAAGGAUCUUUGCCAUUUUCGUGGCACUGACUCUUUAUAUGGGAAAGGAAUUUAGUUUUGAAGCAUGAGUGAACAGUUUUAGGAGAGAUAUGAGCUUUUGCAAGUGAGCUAUAGUGUUGUGCUGAACUGUAAGACUGUUUUGCCAAAUGAUCUUAGAGUUUUGAGAAUGUAAUUUCUGUUUCAAGAAAUGAGCCAAACCAAUGGAGAAAAACUGUAACAUCUGCCUCAGUUACUGCCUAGAUCUACCAGCCUGGACAACCGGAUGACUGGUCCGGAACGGCAAUUCCCAACCAGGAUAUCCCCUGGCCAUUCUUGUGGUGGUCGGCAGCUUUCAGAAAGCCUACCAGGGUAAACCACCAGAGAGGGACUGCAACGAUGAUCCACAACCAGGACAUCCCGUGGUCAUUUUUAUGUUGGGUUGCAACUUGCAGAAUCAUUCCAAGGUUGAACCCACCAGAGAGGGACUGUCAUGACUCUCUCACCUUGGUGAGGAUCAAAAGAACCCAUCAGCUAGGCAAAUGUUUGAGGAUUGGCCUGUUUUAUGACUUAAAUACCUUGCAGAAACUCUUCCUUUGGCUUCGGCAGGAUUGGAAGGCUGAAAAUCCUUUGUUACACAGAGAGACUUUGCCACCAAAAAACUGGGAAAGACGACCAAAGGGAAGGUCAGAUCCCUCUGAACACUGUGUCGUACAUCUGAAGUAUCUAACGAACACUCCAGAACAAAAGAAGCCUACAAUUAAGGACAUUAUGACCUCUGGUGGACAACCAGAGACUUACAUCGAACCACUUCCCAUAGAACCAUCGAGUUCAACAGAGAGAUGACAAAGACAUCUACGCAUAAAUGUAUACAUUGCAUUUAUUUUCCGAAUGAGCGGUUGUUCAUGUGCAAAGUAUUCAUAUUCCCAUGAGUAUAGCUUCCAAAUGUAUGUACGAUAAGUUGACUCUCUUUGUCUCUCCUUCUCCUUACAUACCCCUCCCCCUUACAUUGCGUAACCCAACGGUCAAGCUUUUGUUAGUCCACUGUUUUCAUUGUAUUAUGCAUGUAAUCAAUAACAUGUGCUGUGUGUUUACGUAUUCUGUGUGAUGAUUUAGUUAGUUAGUAAAUAAAUAAUUAAGCCAAUUUGUGUAUUGCUGAUUGAUCUCUUAGGUUAGAGUUCGUGGAGAUAUUCAAGAAUUGUGCAAUGUUCAGAAAAAGACU